This 500-nucleotide ribosomal RNA is filed under the name uncultured bacterium. Its description in RNAcentral is "partial 16S ribosomal RNA". It matches the Rfam family "Bacterial small subunit ribosomal RNA", at positions 30 to 523 of the family's 1533-position model. The record is from RNAcentral.
AUUGAACGCUGGCGGAAUGCUUUACACAUGCAAGUCGAACGGCAGCACGGACUUCGGUCUGGUGGCGAGUGGCGAACGGGUGAGUAACAUAUCGGAACGUAUCCAACAAUGGGGGAUAACGAGUCGAAAGAUUCGCUAAUACCGCAUACGCCCUACGGGGGAAAGCUGGGGACCUUCGGGCCUGGCGUUAAUGGAGCGGCCGAUAUCUGAUUAGCUAGUUGGGAAGGUAAAGGCUCACCAAGGCGACGAUCAGUAGCUGGUCUGAGAGGAAGACCAGCCACACUGGAGCUGAGACACGGUCCAGACGCCUACGGGAGGCAGCGGUGGGGAAUUUUGGACAAUGGGCGCAAGCCUGAUCCAGCCAUUCCGCGUGAGUGAAGAAGGCCUUCGGGUUGUAAAGCUCUUUCGCAAGGGAAGAAAACUUAGCCACUAACAUUGGUUGAGGUUGACGGUACCUUGAUAAGAAGCACCGGCUAACUACGUGCCAGCCGCCGCCGUAA